AACGAAUCGGCGGCGGUUUUUAAUUAGCGGUGGCGUAGAGCGCAUUGAUUUGACAGGUGUUUCAAGACAAUAAUCACACAAAAACAUUUGCCACAGAAUCGCUGCCGCUUUGAGGAGUUGGAUCUUCAUUACCAUCUGUGUUUCUCUCACGGGAAAAGAACUUGCAGGAUGAACAGCAGUGGGCCAGUGUACCCUUUGGCCUCGCUCUAUGUGGGUGACCUGCACCCUGAUGUCACAGAGGCCAUGCUAUAUCAAAAGUUCUCCCCUGCGGGACCCAUCAUGUCUAUCCGUGUCUGCCGGGACAUCAUCACACGCAGGUCCCUCGGCUAUGCCUACAUCAAUUUCCAGCAGCCUGCUGAUGCGGAAUGUGCACUAGACACGAUGAACUAUGAAGUGAUAAAGGGUCGACCAAUCAGGAUCAUGUGGUCGCAGCGAGACCCUUGUCUGAGGAAGUCUGGAGUAGGGAACAUCUUCAUCAAGAACAUGGACGAGUCAAUCGACAACAAAGCUCUUUACGACACCUUCUCUGCCUUUGGAAACAUUUUGUCAUGUAAGGUGGUUUGUGAUGAAAAUGGCUCAAAAGGUUAUGGAUUUGUGCACUUUGAGACACAGGAGGCAGCGAAGCGAGCAAUCGAAACAAUGAACGGCAUGCUCCUGAACGAUCGCAAAGUAAAAUAUGCAGGUAAAGAGCUGGAAAGCAGCCCAGGCCCAGUCAAUCCUUUGGGGAAAAUAAGUCAACUGUCUGCGGUUAGUUUUGUUGGACAUUUUAAAUCUCGUAAAGAGCGGGAGGCAGAGUUUGGUGCAAAAGCCAUGGAGUUUACCAAUGUUUACAUCAAGAACUUUGGGGACGAUUUUGACAAUGAGAAACUGCGCAAUAUCUUCUCUGAAUUUGGUAAAACCCUGAGCGUUCGAGUGAUGACUGAUGAAAAGGGGCGUUCACGUGGCUUUGGCUUUGUGAAUUAUGAAAACCAUGAAGAUGCACAGAAAGCAGUAGCUGAGAUGAAUGGAAAGGAGCUAAAUGGACGUGUUCUCUACGUGGGCCGAGCUCAGAAGAGACUGGAGAGACAGUCCGAACUCAAACGCAAGUUCGAGCAAAUUAAGCAAGAACGCUUGAACCGGUACCAGGGGGUAAAUCUGUAUGUAAAGAAUUUGGAUGAUGGCAUUGACGACGACAAACUGAGAAAAGAGUUUGCCCCCUACGGCAUGAUCACCAGUGCUAAGGUGAUGACAGAGGGAGGACACAGUAAGGGCUUUGGCUUUGUCUGCUUCUCCUCUCCUGAGGAGGCCACUAAAGCUGUGACUGAGAUGAACGGCCGGAUCGUCAGCACCAAGCCUCUGUAUGUGGCCCUGGCACAAAGGAAAGAGGAGCGCAAGGCCAUCCUCACAAACCAGUACAUGCAGAGACUGGCCAGCGUGAGAGCCAUUCCCGGCCCUGCCAUGCCUGCUUACCAGCAGAGUUCUGGCUACUACAUGCCUUCCAUACCUCAGCCUCAGGGGCGUGCCUUCUACAACACUGUGCCGAAUCUACGACCAGCACCACGCUUUACUGGACAAGCCCCAAGACCACAGGUUCCUUACUCAGCUCAGUCACUGAGGCCAGUGGUGCCACGCAGGACCUCCACUCCCAUCAGCACCAUGCGCCAGGCUUCCACCCAGGCUCCAGGUGUGAACACUCAGAGAAUGGCUCACAUUGGGACUCAGACAGCAGGUGGGCGAACUGUGGGAGGGCCUAUGAUGAGAGGCGUAAGUCAUUACAAAUACUCCAGCGGUGUUCGAAACGUUCAACAUGUCAUCACUGUACCAGCUCCUGUUCCCCAUCAGAUGGUGUCUUCUCCAGUUAUUGAGCCUGCAGUUCACAUGAAAGGUCAAGAGCCCCUUACUCCAUCAAUGUUGGCAGCCGCACCCCUCUUAGAGCAGAAGCAACUACUGGGUGAACGUCUGUAUCCUCUGAUCCAGGCCCUUCAUCCUAACCUUGCUGGUAAGAUCACUGGCAUGUUGCUCGAAAUAGACAACUCUGAACUUCUGCACAUGCUCGAGUCUCCAGAGUCUCUACAUGCAAAGGUUGAGGAGGCAGUGGCUGUUCUUCAAGCUCAUCAAGCAAAGGAAGCCUCCCCUAAGAAAUAGAGGAAUUCUAUGCAGAAACUGCUGACGGAGAACUCUGAGGAAGGGAAAAACAGCAUUUUAGUGGCAGGAGAAUAGCUAAUUUUGAUGACACGGAGGGUGCUGCGAUUUGAGCUUGUGCUGUCUAUAGUACAAAGUAGUGGCAGCACAUUCACUCCAGUUGUACCUGCCAAAUCAUUUGAUUAGAUAUUGGUCAGUAAAACACUUUCCAUAAUGCUAUAGUAAGGUGAUUCUUGUACCUUUGAUGUGAUUUGCCUGGAGAUAGAGGUUCUGCAGACUUGUGCUGAUGGCUGGAAUCUUUUCCAGCUUGUUGUGGGACAGGUCCAGCUCCAUGAGAGUGCUCACAUUAAAAGUAUUGGGUUGGAUUCCAGCAUCGGUGAGGCGAUUGUGCGAGAGGCGCAUAAAGCGCAGCUCUGGCCGCUUUUUCACAAAAUCCACAGGCACAGAAGAGAUGUGGUUGUGGUCGAGGUACAGCUGACUCAGCUUGGUUGGGAGCUGCUCAGGAACCUUUGAUAACUGAUUCCCACGCAAAUCCAGAAAGCUGAGUGAGACCAGAGGCUCUACAGCACCGCCCAGAUCCUGGAUGGUGUUAUAAUGAAGACGCAAAGCUGUGAGGCUGUUCAUGCCACGCAAGGACCCAGGAGGCACGGACGUGAUGGCAUUGUGGUCCAAGCGUAGGUCCUGAAGAGAAUGAGGAAGUCCUUCUGGGAUGUACUCGAGUUUGUUGUGCUGUAAGAACAGACGCUCCAGUUUGGAUAGCUUAGCAAAGACCUAAUAAGAGAAAAGUAUUAAAUAUUGAAUGGAGUAAAAUCUUUGCACAUUUUUUUUUUUUGUCCUGAAUACAUCCUGCUUCUAAUAUGUAAUAUAAAUGCUUUUGUUUUAUAAUAAAGGCUUUUCUCUCUAAA
This is an RNA transcript of Tachysurus fulvidraco (yellow catfish), 3026 nucleotides long. It is a transcript of the gene named poly(A) binding protein, cytoplasmic 1-like, with no coding region annotated. The record is from RefSeq and is a predicted model, not a curated record. The transcript is spliced from 18 exons. NCBI's taxonomy places the organism in Eukaryota, Metazoa, Chordata, Actinopteri, Siluriformes, Bagridae.